RNAcentral lists this ribosomal RNA (364 nucleotides) under uncultured bacterium. RNAcentral describes it as "partial 16S ribosomal RNA". It matches the Rfam family "Bacterial small subunit ribosomal RNA", at positions 338 to 699 of the family's 1533-position model. The record is from RNAcentral.
CCUACGGGGGGCUGCAGUGAGGAAUAUUGGUCAAUGGACGGAAGUCUGAACCAGCCAUGCCGCGUGCAGGAAGACGGCUCUAUGAGUUGUAAACUGCUUUUGUACAAGGGUAAACCUGAAUACGUGUAUUCAGCUGAAUGUACUGUACGAAUAAGGAUCGGCUAACUCCGUGCCAGUAGCCGCGGUAAUAAGGAGGAUCCAAGCGUUAUCCGGAUUUAUUGGGUUUAAAGGGUGCGUAGGCGGAUUGAUAAGUUAGAGGUGAAAUGUCCGAGCGUAACUCGGGAACUGCCUCUAAUAGUGUUGAUCUAGAGAGUAGAUGUGGUAGGCAGAAUGUAUGGUGUAGCGGUGAAAUGCUUAGAGAUCA